UAGGGAAUCUUCGGCAAUGGACGAAAGUCUGACCGAGCAACGCCGCGUGAGUGAAGAAGGUUUUCGGAUCGUAAAACUCUGUUGUUAGAGAAGAACAAGGACGUUAGUAACUGAACGUCCCCUGACGGUAUCUAACCAGAAAGCCACGGCUAACUACGUGCCAGCAGCCGCGGUAAUACGUAGGUGGCAAGCGUUGUCCGGAUUUAUUGGGCGUAAAGCGAGCGCAGGCGGUUUCUUAAGUCUGAUGUGAAAGCCCCCGGCUAAACCGGGGAGGGUCAUUGGAAACUGGGAGACUUGAGUGCAGAAGAGGAGAGUGGAAUUCCAGGUGUAGCGGUGAAAUGCGUAGAUAUAUGGAGGAACACCAGUGGCGAAGGCGGCUCUCUGGUCUGUAACUGACGCUGAGGCUCGAAAGCGUGGGGAGCAAACAGG
Molecule: ribosomal RNA, 429 nt
Filed under: Gemmatimonadota bacterium
Lineage: Bacteria; Pseudomonadati; Gemmatimonadota
Description: Gemmatimonadetes bacterium partial 16S ribosomal RNA
Rfam family: Bacterial small subunit ribosomal RNA
Source: RNAcentral